Non-coding RNA from Malus domestica (apple), 421 nucleotides. The record is from RefSeq and is a predicted model, not a curated record. Lineage: Eukaryota; Viridiplantae; Streptophyta; Magnoliopsida; Rosales; Rosaceae.
CACCUCGAGAUUAUAGCAUCCCUCCCUUUUCUCACUCUGUAAUUUCCCUCAAAUCCCUCGCCGAUUCUCUCUCGCCAUUCUCAGUCUACCCUUUCUCAGCUUGCAGCUCCAUGCUCCACCUCCAGAUUAUAGCAUCGGGUGUAAGCAAUUGUGACGGCUUCCACUCAAGGCAUCGGCUCUUGAAGGCGCCUCCGUCGUCAUCUCCUCCCGCAAGCGUUGUAGAGUUUACCUUUUGAUUUGUGAACUUGGAACAUCUGGCAAAUUGGGAAGAGAAGCAGAUGUUCAAACAGUAAAUGGUAGGUUCAUGGAAGAUCACAGUACAGCUAGCUUCCCGUUGAAAAACAACCAUAACCGAAAGCCAUGCCUGCAGAGACUGAACCAUAACCGAAGCCCAUGCCUGCAUCAAUUGAUUGAAAAAGGU